CAGUGCGCCGGGACCGAGCGGAGCCGGAAAGAGCCGGAAAGAGCCGAAGAGGAGCCGAGAGCCGGCGAAGCGGGAGCCGGAAAGAGCCGAACGGCGGGGACGGAGCGGAGCCGAGAAGAGCCGAAGCGGAGCCGAAGCGGACCCGCCCGAGGGUCCGGCCAUGCCUUGAAGCGGCUCCUCAGACCCGUCCCGGGCUCUUCCUCCUCGUCCUCCUCAUCCUCGUCCUCCUCCUGCGGCGGGGGAGGGGCCCAUGGGCCGGGCAGGGGGCUGAGGGGGCCGGAGACGCUGAACUGGGCCGAACUGGGCCGAACUGGGCCCAGCUAGGCCGGAGAAAUCAGAACCGGGCCGAAAAGAGGCGAAGUUGUCCGGAAAGAGCCGAAGCGGGCGAGGAAUAACCGAAGUAAGGACGGAGCUGUACGGAAAGAACCGAACCGGGCCGGAAAGAACCGAACUGGGUCGGAAGUAAGCGAAGCGGGCCGGAAGUAGACGAAGGGAGCCCGGGGAGGGUCGGAAAGAACCGAACCGAGCACGAAGGGGGGCGGAAAGAGCCGAAGGUGUCCGGAAAUUGCCGAAGUGCCGCCAUGUUGCUGUCGCUGCUCCUCGGGCUCCUCGAGGUGUCGGGGGCGCUGGGCGGGUGCGUGGAGGUGGCCUCGGGCACCGAGGCCGUGCUGGGGGAGCCGUUCCGGCUGCUCUGCAUCGCCUGCAAGCGCCGCAGCGAGACCCCGGCCGAGGCCGAGAGCGAGUGGUUCUUCCGGCCCGAGGGGGCCCCCCACUUCGAGAAGAUCCUGCACUACAGCCCCGAGGAGGGCGAGUGGGUGGCUCCUGGCCCGUUCCUGGGGGUGAUCGCCUGGAACGGCUCGCGGGGCACGCGGGACCUGCAGGACCUGUCGGUGUGGCUGAAGGCCGUGGAGCGCGGCCACGCGGGGCAGUACGUGUGCCGGCUGAAACGGAACCUGACCUUCGAGGGCUACACCUACAGCCUGGCCAGGAACCAGACCCUGCGGCUGGCCGUGGUGGAGAAAGCCUGGCCAGGAACCAGACCCUGCGGCUGGCCGUGGUGGAGAAAGCGCGGCGGGACCUGGCGUCCAUCGUCUCCGAGAUCCUGAUGUACGUGCUGAUCGUGGUGCUCACGCUCUGGCUGGCCGCCGAGAUGCUCUACUGCUACCGCAAGGUGGCGGCCGCGGCCCCGCCCCCCGACAGCGCGUCGGAGUACCUGGCCAUCACCUCGGAGAGCAAGGAGAACUGCGGCGGCGUCCAGGCGGCCGAGUGACCACUGAGUGACCACUGAGUGACCACUGACCACUGAGUGACCCCUGAGUGACCCCGAGUGACCACUGAGUGACCA
RNA transcript from Pyrgilauda ruficollis (rufous-necked snowfinch), 1345 nucleotides. It is a transcript of the gene named sodium voltage-gated channel beta subunit 1, with no coding region annotated. Lineage: Eukaryota; Metazoa; Chordata; Aves; Passeriformes; Passeridae. The transcript is spliced from 6 exons. The record is from RefSeq and is a predicted model, not a curated record.